UGGGGAAUUUUGGACAAUGGGCGCAAGCCUGAUCCAGCCAUGCCGCGUGAGUGAAGAAGGCCUUCGGGUUGUAAAGCUCUUUCGGACGGGAAGAAAUGGCGGGCUCUAACAUAGCCCGUCGAUGACGGUACCGUAAGAAGAAGCACCGGCUAACUACGUGCCAGCAGCCGCGGUAAUACGUAGGGAGCAAGCGGUGUUCGGAUUUACUGGGCGUAAAGGGCGCGUAGGCGGCGCGGUAAGUCACUUGUGAAAUCUCUGAGCUUAACUCAGAACGGCCAAGUGAUACUGCUGUGCUAGAGUGCGGAAGAGGCAACCGGAAUUCUUGGUGUAGCGGUGAAAUGCGUAGAUAUCAAGAGGAACACCUGAGGCGAAGGCGGGUUGCUGGGCCGACACUGACGCUGAUGCGCGAAAGCCAGG
Molecule: ribosomal RNA, 417 nt
Filed under: uncultured bacterium
Lineage: Bacteria
Description: bacterial SSU rRNA
Rfam family: Bacterial small subunit ribosomal RNA
Source: RNAcentral